This 1164-nucleotide long non-coding RNA is filed under the name Numida meleagris (helmeted guineafowl). RNAcentral's name for it is "lncRNA (ENSNMEG00000009511.1)". The record is from RNAcentral. Lineage: Eukaryota; Metazoa; Chordata; Aves; Galliformes; Numididae.
ACAGACCAUUACGACGAGUUCCUUCCAAACUUCUCUGGCUACGUUUACGAUUCCAAACGCUGCGGCGCGGAGCGGUUCCUGUCCGUCCCUGCGAGCAGAGCUGCCCACCAUCCGCCCACAAACAGAUGUUAUUUACGCACGAGCCCGCUGCCGGAGCGGGGUUUUACCUUUGCAGUAACAGUGAGGAACAGCCCCACAGGAGCACGGCGCUCCCGCACCGAGCGCCGCCGGAGCCGCCGCGCUGCUGGCUGCGAGCUACCGGCCCGAGCUCCGUGGCCGCGCGGCGGGAGCUGCUCCGCUCUCCUCGGGCCGGAGGGCCCCGCCGGCUGCACGAACAAUGGGAGCGUCUGCAAUGGGCCGGGCCCCGCUCGACCCGGGCCCAGCGCGCUUCCCGCCCGAGUCCUCCGUCCUCCUCCGGCGCCUUCUCGCAGCCCCGUGACCCCUCGCUCCCUCUCGGAGCUCCGUCGGCUCUCGCCGUGCCGCCGAGGGCACCGCGGCUUUAUCCUCCCGGCUACUCACCCUCACACUCUAUGGCCCUCGGCGCAAAGCGUGCCGCAGGGCGAGCGGGACGGCUGGGCUGGCCCGCGGCCAGCUGCGCUCCGAGCCUAUCCCGGGGUCGGCGGGACGGCCUAUGGGAGCCGCGCAGCUCCGCUCGCCGCCCUGACCUCCUCCCGCCCCGCGUGCCAUGAGCGGUGCCGGCGGGAGGGGAGGCAGCGCCGCGCGGCCCCACCUGGGCUGCAGUGCGCGCCGCUUCCCUUCAGGGGACGGUGCUGCGCACAGAGGGCCGCGCAGCAUUGUUCUCCUCUGACCCCGGGUCCCCGCGCCCGGAGAGGGGCCGAGGAGGGCCGGGAGGGACGGGCGGGCGGCGAGAGGACAGAGGAGGCCCGCUUUGCCCCCCCCCCCACCCGCGCUCCAUCCCGUCGGGGAGCCCCGCUCCGCUCGGUGCCACCGGUCCCAUCCUCCUCCCACACGGACGCUCCCCCGAGGCCGCUCUUCCCGCCUCGUUCCAGGGCUGCGGGCGCAGUGCUCCGGUCCCCUCACACCUCGGAGAGGUUCGCAGAGGCCGCGGCCGUACCGCUCCCCCGGCACGCUCGGGAGCGGCGUGUCCACACAGCGGGACACGCGGGGACGGAACGGGGCGAGCGGAGCCGGGCACAGCGCUGA